GGUUGGAAAACAAGUCUGCUACUACUGCAAACAGCCUGGUCAUAUGGCUCCCUUUUGCCCAAUACGCCAAAAACAAGCAGAUUCCAACCCAAACAAGUCUAACACUGGAAGGGUCUUUGCUCUCAGUGCAAAGAAAGAUUCAACCAAGGAAGCAGCAAGGGAUAAUAACCCAAAAAUGAAGAACUUGAGUCGAAGUGGCAAUUCAGGAAAAAUGGGAGCUCAACAAUCAAUCUAAUUAGAACGUCUUCUCCCUUAUCACAAAUACAGCUGGAGGAACAUGAGACAUGAAAAUUAGCAUCAGAAGAUCAGUUCCAAACUCUUGGACUUAGAAUUUGAAUUUUUUUGUUUUAUGAUGUUAUCAGACAAUCGUAGUUUGUUUUCAAAAUGUAAUAUUUUAUGAA
This is a non-coding RNA of Cicer arietinum (chickpea), 401 nucleotides long. The record is from RefSeq and is a predicted model, not a curated record. NCBI's taxonomy places the organism in Eukaryota, Viridiplantae, Streptophyta, Magnoliopsida, Fabales, Fabaceae.